UUUAAGAGAAUUACACUGACCUAACUGACUGAAAUCGUAAAAAGAUUACAACCGGAACUAGAUAUGGUUGGUACACAUUACCGUAUAUACUGGAGUACAAGUUCACCAUGAGUGAACAUACCAGCUGACAUACACUUCAGUAACACUGUUGUCUGGAAAUAUGCAGCAGAUGCAAUCACACCAUGUGAUAGCACAGUGGUACGCCAGUCACUGCAAGUAAACAUUGCAGGAGCAGCAGGCAGUGAAGAAGAAGCUGCCAGACCUGUUGAGCUUCUGCAGCACUGUUUUCGCCCUGACAGAAGAAACAUUUCAGAACUGGAGACAACCAGCUAAUCUAGCUUUCGACCAAGUGUGAC
Non-coding RNA from Chiloscyllium plagiosum (whitespotted bambooshark), 356 nucleotides. NCBI's taxonomy places the organism in Eukaryota, Metazoa, Chordata, Chondrichthyes, Orectolobiformes, Hemiscylliidae. The record is from RefSeq and is a predicted model, not a curated record.